GUAGGCUACUUCAGACUUGGUUUUUCUCAAAUCCAUGGCUAGUUUUCAACGGUCGUCUUAGUGGGAUCCUUCGUUUUAGAUGAUUUGCUGAGUGGGGUGGGCCUUAUUGCGUUGAGUGGGGGGAGUCAUCUGUAGAAUUGAGAGUUUUUUUCACCAGUAUAAUGUCCCUCUCUGUUUGACUCUUUUUAAAAAGUUCUUUUUCAUCUAUCAUUUUCAACCAAGCAGCAAGAGGUCAAAUUUAAGAAUAAGUAAUAGUUUGUCAUGAUUUUACAGGGAAAAGUCAGAGCGCGAUGUCACAUCUUAAAGACAGCUUGAAC
Molecule: long non-coding RNA, 317 nt
Organism: Notothenia coriiceps (black rockcod)
Lineage: Eukaryota; Metazoa; Chordata; Actinopteri; Perciformes; Nototheniidae
Exons: 3
Source: RefSeq, a predicted model, not a curated record